Molecule: ribosomal RNA, 315 nt
Filed under: uncultured Rhizobium sp.
Lineage: Bacteria; Pseudomonadati; Pseudomonadota; Alphaproteobacteria; Hyphomicrobiales; Rhizobiaceae
Description: bacterial SSU rRNA
Rfam family: Bacterial small subunit ribosomal RNA
Source: RNAcentral
UUGGACAAUGGGCUCAAGCUUGAUCCAACCAUGCCGCGUGAGUGAUGAAGUCCCUAGGGUUGUAAAGCUCUUUCACCGGUGAAGAUAAUGCCGGUACCCUGAGAAGAAUGCCCCGGCUAAUUUUGUUCCAGCAGCCGCGGAAAUUCGAAGGGGGCUAGCGUUGUUCGGAUUUAGUGGGCGUAAAGCGCACUUAGGCGGAUCGAUCAGUCAGGGGUGAAAUCCCAGAGCUCAACUCGGGAACUGCAUUUGAUACUGUCGGUCUGGAGUAUGGAAGAGGUGAGUGGAAUUCCGAGUGUAGCGGUGAAAUUCGUCGAU